Molecule: ribosomal RNA, 498 nt
Filed under: uncultured bacterium
Lineage: Bacteria
Description: partial 16S ribosomal RNA
Rfam family: Bacterial small subunit ribosomal RNA
Source: RNAcentral
GACGAACGCUGGCGGCGUGCCUAAUACAUGCAAGUCGAACGAGAGCAACCGGUGCUUGCACUGGUCAAUCUAGUGGCGAACGGGUGAGUAACACGUGGGUAACCUGCCCAUCAGAGGGGGAUAACAUCCGGAAACGGAUGCUAAAACCGCAUAGGUCUUCGAACCGCAUGGUUUGAAGAGGAAAAGAGGCGCAAGCUUCUGCUGAUGGAUGGACCCGCGGUGCAUUAGCUAGUUGGUGGGGUAACGGCUCACCAAGGCCGUGAUGCAUAGCCGAACUGAGGGGGGGAUCGGCCACAUUGGGACUGAGACACGGCCCAAACUCCUACGGGAGGCAGCAGUAGGGAAUCUUCCGCAAUGGUCGCAAGUCUGACGGAGCAACGCCGCGUGAGUGAAGAAGGUUUUCGGAUCGUAAAACUCUGUUGUUAGAGAAAAACAAGUGCUAGAGUAACUGUUAGCGCCUUGACGGUAUCUAACCAGAAAGCCACGGCUAACUACGUG